UCGGACAGAGCUCGUGAAUCCGGGCGACGGAAUUCAGAAUUUGUGCGCGCGUUUGCGCGCGCGCUGCAGGCUCGAUAUUUCCGUCGCCGUAUUUGCGGACGUCGCGACCCGUUUGGUGUCGGUUUGAGGAGAUGCGCGAAAGUUCGUCGCACGUGCGUCGAGCUUCGGUUCGGCGUUCGUCGACGAGUGCGCAUUUUAAAUUGUUCUAACUGACUCGCCAGACGGUAUGUAAAAAAUGGGUGGUCGCAGCGGUCUUUUUUUGUAGCAUCGCUGUCGAUACCDYYGRGACRRAUUCWC
Molecule: ribosomal RNA, 297 nt
Filed under: Lenania africana
Lineage: Eukaryota; Metazoa; Arthropoda; Insecta; Hemiptera; Pseudococcidae
Description: partial 28S large subunit ribosomal RNA
Source: RNAcentral